GAUGAACGCUGGCGGCGUGCCUAAUACAUGCAAGUCGAGCGAACGGACGAGAAGCUUGCUUCUCUGAUGUUAGCGGCGGACGGGUGAGUAACACGUGGAUAACCUACCUAUAAGACUGGGAUAACUUCGGGAAACCGUAGCUAAUACCGGAUAAUAUUUUGAACCGCAUGGUUCAAAAGUGAAAAACGGUCUUGCUGUCACUUAUAGAUGGAUCCGCGCUGCAUUAGCUAGUUGGUAAGGUAACGGCUUACCAAGGCAACGAUGCAUAGCCGACCUGAGAGGGUGAUCGGCCACAUGGGAACUGAGACACGGUCCAGACUCCUACGGGAGGCAGCAGUAGGGAAUCUUACGCAAUGGGCGAAAGCCUGACGGAGCAACGCCGCGUGAGUGAUGAAGGUCUUCGGAUCGUAAAACUCUGUUAUUAGGGAAGAACAUAUGUGUAAGUAACUGUGCACAUCUUGACGGUACCUAAUCAGAAAGCCACGGCUAACUACGUG
Molecule: ribosomal RNA, 497 nt
Filed under: uncultured bacterium
Lineage: Bacteria
Description: partial 16S ribosomal RNA
Rfam family: Bacterial small subunit ribosomal RNA
Source: RNAcentral